This 349-nucleotide long non-coding RNA is filed under the name Coturnix japonica (Japanese quail). RNAcentral's name for it is "lncRNA (ENSCJPG00005003893.1)". The record is from RNAcentral. Lineage: Eukaryota; Metazoa; Chordata; Aves; Galliformes; Phasianidae.
CCUAUAGGGCCAUUGUCCCUAAUAGGGCCAUUGUUCCUUAUUGGGGUCACUGUUCCCUCUAGGUCCGGCCCUGAGCCCAGCUGUGCCCCCCCAUGGUCAGGCCCACAGCUGGUCACCCCAUAGCGCUGUUUGGAGCCCCCAUAUAUGGGGGCUGGACAAGAUGGCGCCGCAGGGGCAGUGCCGCUACCAGCGCCGCUGGGUCACGCUGGACUCGCAGUGUCUGCGCUACUUCCACAGUGACAAGGUGGGGGGGGGCAACGGGAGGGGACACUAUGGGACCCCAUCAAUGGGACCCCAAUGGGACCCAGCCCCCCCCAAUGGGGACCUCCAAUGGACUGUGCUGGGUCAA